This 815-nucleotide ribosomal RNA is filed under the name uncultured crenarchaeote. Its description in RNAcentral is "bacterial SSU rRNA". It matches the Rfam family "Archaeal small subunit ribosomal RNA", at positions 52 to 875 of the family's 1478-position model. Lineage: Archaea; Thermoproteati; Thermoproteota. The record is from RNAcentral.
UGCGAGUCGACAUAGCAAUAUGUGGCAUACGGCUCAGUAACACGUAGUCAACAUGCCCAGGGGACGUGGAUAACCUCGGGAAACUGAGGAUAAACCGCGAUAGGUCACUGCUUCUGGAAUGGGCAAUGACUUAAACCUAUAUGGCCCCUGGAUUGGACUGCGGCCGAUCAGGCUGUUGGUGAGGUAAUGGCCCACCAAACCUGUAACCGGUACGGGCUCUGAGAGGAGGAGCCCGGAGAUGGGCACUGAGACAAGGGCCCAGGCCCUAUGGGGCGCAGCAGGCGCGAAACCUCUGCAAUAGGCGAAAGCCUGACAGGGUUACUCUGAGUGAUCUCCGUUAAGGAGGUCUUUUGGCAUCUCUAAAAAGGGUGCAGAAUAAGGGGUGGGCAAGUCUGGUGUCAGCCGCCGCGGUAAUACCAGCACCCCGAGUGGUCGGGACGUUUAUUGGGCCUAAAGCAUCCGUAGCCGGUUCUGCAAGUCUUCCGUUAAAUCCACCUGCUUAACAGAUGGGCUGCGGAAGAUACUACAGAGCUAGGAGGCGGGAGAGGCAAGCGGUACUCGAUGGGUAGGGGUAAAAUCCGUUGAUCCAUUGAAGACCACCAGUGGCGAAGGCGGCUUGCCAGAACGCGCUCGACGGUGAGGGAUGAAAGCUGGGGGAGCAAACCGGAUUAGAUACCCGGGUAGUCCCAGCUGUAAACGAUGCAGACUCGGUGAUGAGUUGGCUUCUUGCUAACUCAGUGCCGCAGGGAAGCCGUUAAGUUUGCCGCCUGGGGAGUACGGUCGCAAGACUGAAACUUAAAGGAAUUGGCGGGGGA